Pogona vitticeps (central bearded dragon) is the source of this 884-nucleotide non-coding RNA. NCBI's taxonomy places the organism in Eukaryota, Metazoa, Chordata, Lepidosauria, Squamata, Agamidae. The record is from RefSeq and is a predicted model, not a curated record.
GAUGGAUCUUCCUGUUAGGUCAAGAUGAGGGUUGAAGAUCAACUGAUGCUCUCCUCAAGCCAGCACCUCAGGUGACCAUCCAGCUUGUCCACCCUUAAGGCCAAACAUUGCAACUAAUCCCAUGCAAUUAACUGAUCUAAUCUAACUGGAAUAAACAACUAGAAGUGGACCUAACCACUACCAUUACAGUGAGAUUUAAUAGAGACUGGUCAAUUCGCUGGUGAAUACCCAUGGAUUUAUGAUUCUUUGAUAUUAAGGUUCAUCUAUCCAGAUCCAGGACUUCCAGUGUUUGGCUCUUAAAUAUCUGGAUUGGAAUCCAUGUUUACUUCGGCCCGGCCAACUCCACUCUGUAUCGAUCAAUGACUUCCAAGUAACCCAGUUUUCCAUGUGAACAGACAGGGCUGGACUUCCCUGGGAUUUCAUUCAUUUGAAAAGAAAAGCAGUCUCCCUUCAUCAGCUUCUGGAAUCAUAAAAACACAGUGUCUCAGUCUUCAGCCAAUCUAUCCUGGAGUAAAAAAGAAUCACUGGUAUGCAAAGUCACUAAGACAGAAGGAAAUCCACUUGGAAGGAGAGAAAUAUUUGCAAGUUUUCCUUCAUUCCAGUCUGUGGUGCUUUGCAACAUACCCUUUGCAAGUGUCUUAUUCCCUCAGUGCAAGAUCAAUGACUGCAUGAUUAACAGAGCUUGAGGGAUAUGGAUAUCUGAAGAUAAUGGGAACUGGGAAAGGAAUGUCAUUCUGAACAUUUGACAGAGGCAUGAGCCUUAUUUGUUGAGCCAAUCUUUAGAAGGAAACAUUCCUUGAACAAAAAAGAUUUUUGUAAAAGCAGUCCCAUCGAAGAGGCAUUAAUGUAUUUUCAAAAACACUAGCAUUCAAAAUAAAAUACUA